This 270-nucleotide ribosomal RNA is filed under the name uncultured bacterium. Its description in RNAcentral is "partial 16S ribosomal RNA". It matches the Rfam family "Bacterial small subunit ribosomal RNA", at positions 28 to 289 of the family's 1533-position model. The record is from RNAcentral.
GAUUAACGCUGGCGGCGUGCAUGAAACAUGCAAGUCGAGCGCGGUAAACAGCGGGGUAACCUGCUGUUUAUCUAGCGGCGCACGGGUGAGUAACACGUGAGCAACCUACCUUCGAGUCGGGGAUAGCCCUGGGAAACCAGGAUUAAUACCCGAUGUGGUCACGACUGGACAUCCAGUUGUGAGUAAAGGCGAAAGCCGCUCGAUGACGGGCUCGCGGCCUAUUAGCUUGUUGGUGGGGUAACGGCCUACCAAGGCGAUGAUGGGUAGCUG